CAGCCGCCGCGGUAAUACAGAGGGUGCGAGCGUUAAUCGGAUUUACUGGGCGUAAAGCGUGCGUAUGCGGCUUCUUAAGUCGGAUGUGAAAUCCCUGAGCUUAACUUAGGAAUUGCAUUCGAUACUGGGAAGCUAGAGUAUGGGAGAGGAUGGUAGAAUUCCAGGUGUAGCGGUGAAAUGCGUAGAGAUCUGGAGGAAUACCGAUGGCGAAGGCAGCCAUCUGGCCUAAUACUGACGCUGAGGUACGAAAGCAUGGGGAGCAAACAGGAUUAGAUACCCCGGUAGUCCCUGUCUCUUAUAC
This 301-nucleotide ribosomal RNA is filed under the name uncultured bacterium. RNAcentral's name for it is "partial 16S ribosomal RNA". It matches the Rfam family "Bacterial small subunit ribosomal RNA", at positions 509 to 807 of the family's 1533-position model. The record is from RNAcentral.